GUGGGGAAUCUUCCACAAUGGACGAAAGUCUGAUGGAGCAACGCCGCGUGAGUGAAGAAGGGUUUCGGCUCGUAAAGCUCUGUUGUCGGGGACGAAUGUGCAGUAUUUGAAUAAAGUAUUGCAAUGACGGUACCUGACGAGGAAGCCACGGCUAACUACGUGCCAGCAGCCGCGGUAAUACGUAGGUGGCAAGCGUUGUCCGGAAUUAUUGGGCGUAAAGGGAGCGCAGGCGGGAAGGUAAGUCGGUCUUAAAAGUGCGGGGCUCAACCCCGUGAUGGGAUCGAAACUAUCUUUCUUGAGUGCAGGAGAGGAAAGUGGAAUUCCUAGUGUAGCGGUGAAAUGCGUAGAUAUUAGGAGGAACACCAGUGGCGAAGGCGACUUUCUGGACUGUAACUGACGCUGAGGCUCGAAAGCCAGGGGAGCGAACGGGAUUAGAAACCCGGGUAGUCC
This 450-nucleotide ribosomal RNA is filed under the name uncultured bacterium. Its description in RNAcentral is "partial 16S ribosomal RNA". It matches the Rfam family "Bacterial small subunit ribosomal RNA", at positions 354 to 796 of the family's 1533-position model. The record is from RNAcentral.